UGCUUGUUUCAGCAGCAAUAUACUAAAUUUUGAAUAAUACAGAGAUUAGCUUGGCCUCUGCACAAGGAUGACACACAAAGUCAUGAAGCAUUUCAUAUUUUC
This is a small nuclear RNA of Peromyscus leucopus (white-footed mouse), 102 nucleotides long. NCBI's taxonomy places the organism in Eukaryota, Metazoa, Chordata, Mammalia, Rodentia, Cricetidae. The record is from RefSeq and is a predicted model, not a curated record.